GUUCUCUACGUGCUUAGAUAAGAGAUCAUCUUGCAAAGCCCUUGGCACAAUGUGUGACACCACAAUACAUGUUCUGGAGACUGGGAAGAGCAACACAAAGAUAUUCAGUUGCUUGGUGAGAGCUGCUCUCUGCUUCCAAGGCGGCACCUUGUUGCUGCAUUCUCCAAUGGGAAGGAACGCUGGGUCC
Molecule: long non-coding RNA, 187 nt
Organism: Homo sapiens (human)
Lineage: Eukaryota; Metazoa; Chordata; Mammalia; Primates; Hominidae
Product: long intergenic non-protein coding RNA 1435
Source: Ensembl